RNAcentral lists this unclassified non-coding RNA (329 nucleotides) under soil metagenome. RNAcentral describes it as "partial contains 5.8S ribosomal RNA, internal transcribed spacer 2, and large subunit ribosomal RNA". The stretch from base 1 to 120 matches the Rfam family "5.8S ribosomal RNA", at positions 35 to 154 of the family's 154-position model. The record is from RNAcentral.
GAUGAAGAACGCAGCGAAAUGCGAUAAGUAGUGUGAAUUGCAGAAUUCAGUGAAUCAUCGAAUCUUUGAACGCACAUUGCGCCCCUUGGUAUCCCGAGGGGCAUGCCUGUUCGAGCGUCAUUUCACCACUCAAGCCUGGCUUGGUGUUGGGCGACGUCCCCUUUGGGGACGCGCCUCGAAACGCUCGGCGGCGUGGCACCGGCUUUAAGCGUAGCAGAAUCUUUCGCUUUGGAAGUCGGUGCCCCGUCUGCCGGAAGACCUACUCGCAAGGUUGACCUCGGAUCAGGCAGGGAUACCCGCUGAACUUAAGCAUAUCAAUAAGCGGAGGA